UCGGAUAUGGUGUAACGGCUAACAUUGUCGCCUCUCAUCACAUAACGGAUAUGUUUUGCGGCAACUCGGGGUUCGAUUCCCCGUAUCCGAA
Molecule: transfer RNA, 91 nt
Filed under: Armillaria gallica
Lineage: Eukaryota; Fungi; Basidiomycota; Agaricomycetes; Agaricales; Physalacriaceae
Description: tRNA-Glu
Rfam family: tRNA
About the family: Transfer RNA (tRNA) molecules are approximately 80 nucleotides in length.
Source: RNAcentral